This is a long non-coding RNA of Monopterus albus (swamp eel), 481 nucleotides long. RefSeq lists it as uncharacterized. The record is from RefSeq and is a predicted model, not a curated record. Lineage: Eukaryota; Metazoa; Chordata; Actinopteri; Synbranchiformes; Synbranchidae. The transcript is spliced from 3 exons.
ACAACUACGGGUCCUCUUCUGUUUUUAGCCUCUGUAGUAACUACGAGCAACCACCGACCCAUUUGGUUGAAAGUCAUCAGUUAAGCUGGCCCCUCCUUAUGGUUGAACACCGGACCGGAUGUAGGACAUACCACCUUCAGAUGGGCUCUGAGGAAAACGUGGGGUUUUAACCGACAAACAGUAGCGCACUUGGAAGUCGUAGUGCCUCUAGUAUUAUUUAUUGCUUUUCGACAAACGGGCGACAUAAGUAGGGCUUCUUAACAGUUAUGCAGACAGCAGCGAAAAAGCAUAACACCUACCGACUCGCUCGACUCCCAAAUAUAUAAUUUUCAGGUCUGUAGUAUUGGCUGAAGGACCGUGUAAACGCGGCUUGUAAGAGGAUCCCAUCGUGUUUUUGGCAUUGCUGUGGCACUGCCUCCUCUGUUACCGCCCUUUCUCAGGUUGGCCGUAGUGUAUAGAGAGGAGCCUACUCAACUCUCCA